CAUCGCCUCUUGCCCUCAUAAGAGGUCCAGCCUGCCCAGUGACUUUAUUUAACGGCCGCGGUAUUCUAACCGUGCAAAGGUAGCGUAAUCACUUGUCUUCUAAAUAAAGACCAGUAUGAAAGGCACCACGAAGGCUAAACUGUCUCCUUUCUCCAAUCAGUGAACCUAAUCUCCCCGUGAAGAAGCGGGGAUCCUACUAUAAGACGAGAAGACCCUAUGGAGCUUAAAACAUCAUAACAAUUGCCACCACUUAUAACCACUCCGGUCUUUCUAUUAAACAGCAUCCUGAUUAUAUGUUUUUGGUUGGGGUGACCGCGGAGAAAAACUCAUCCUCCACAGUAAGGGGCUUUCCCCUAAGCGAUAAGUCACAACUUUAUGCAUCAAAAUUUGACACUUAUUGACCCAACAAAUUGAUUAACGAACCAAGUUACCCUAGGGAUAACAGCACAAUCCACUUUGAGAGCCCAUAUCGACAAGUGGGCUUAUGACCUCGAUGUUGGAUCGGGAUAUCCUAGUGGUGCAACCGCUACUAAAGGUUCGUUUGUUCAACGAUUAAAACCCC
This 562-nucleotide ribosomal RNA is filed under the name Pristimantis cf. altamazonicus ABGD cluster 15. Its description in RNAcentral is "partial large subunit ribosomal RNA". It matches the Rfam family "Bacterial large subunit ribosomal RNA", at positions 1814 to 2597 of the family's 2925-position model. Lineage: Eukaryota; Metazoa; Chordata; Amphibia; Anura; Strabomantidae. The record is from RNAcentral.